ACGCUGGCAGCGUGGAUUAGGCAUGCAAGUCGAACGGGAACCCGUGAGUUUGAUUCUUCGGAAGAUUACAUGCGGGGGAGAGUGGCGAAAGGGUGAGUUACGCGUGAACAAUCUGCCUUUCAGUUCGGGAUAACUUUGCGAAAGCGAGGCUAAUACCGGAUGUGGUUCCCUGGCGCAUGUCGGGGUAAUUAAAGGUGGGGAUCCUUCGGGACCUGCCGCUGAUUGAGGAGUUCGCGUCCUGUCAGCUUGUUGGUGAGGUAAAGGCUCACCAAGGCAACGACGGGUAGCUGGUCUGAGAGGAUGGUCAGCCACACUGGGACUGAGACACUGCCCAGACUCCUACGGGAGGCUGCAGUCGAGAAUCAUUUGCAAUGCGCGAAAGCGUGACAAUGCGACGCUGCGUGGAGGAGGAAGGCCUUCUGGUCGUAAACUCCUGUUAUUGGGGAGCAAGCUUCCCGGCGCUAAUACCGCCGGGGAUUGAUAGUACCCAAGGAGGAAGUCACGGCUAACUCUGUGCCAGCAGCCGCGGUAAUACAGAGGUGGCGAGCGUUGUUCGGAUUUACUGGGCGUAAAACGUGCGUAGGCGGCCGGGUAUGUCGGAUGUGAAAUCUCACCGCUCAACGGUGAAACGGCAUUCGAAACUGCUCGGCUAGAGUGCGGAAGAGGAGAGUGGAAUUCUUGGUGUAGCGGUGAAAUGCGUUGAUAUCAAGAAGAACACCGGUGGCGAAGGCGACUCUCUGGUACGCUACUGACGCUGAGGCACGAAAGCGUGGGGAGCGAACAGGAUUAGAUACCCUGGUAGUCCACGCUGUAAACGGUGUGCACUUGGUAUGGGGGGUGUUGACUCCCCCCGUGCCGGAGCUAACGCAUUAAGUGCACUGCCUGGGGAGUACGGUCGCAAGGUUGAAACUCAAAGAAAUUGACGGGGGCCCGCACAAGCGGAGGAGCAUGUGGCUUAAUUCGAUGCAACGCGAAGAACCUUACCAGGGCUUGACAUGUAACUGCAAAUCCACCGAAAGGUGGACUCUUUCGAAGGUGUUACACAGGUGCUGCAUGGCUGUCGUCAGUUCGUGCCGUGAGGUGUUGGGUUAAGUCCCGCAACGAACGCAACCCCUAUGUCUAGUUGCCACCACCGGUGAUGAGCCGGUGAGCACUCUAGACAGACUGCCCGUACAAGCGGGAGGAAGGCGGGGAUGACGUCAAGUCAGUAUGGCCCUUACGCCCUGGGCUGCACACGUGCUACAAUGGCAGGUACAAUGGGAUGCGAAAUCGCGAGGUGGAGCAAAUCUCCAAAACCUGCCACAGUUCGGAUUGGAGUCUGCAACUCGACUCCAUGAAGUUGGAUUCGCUAGUAAUGGCGCAUCAGCUACGGCGCCGUGAAUACGUUCCCGGGCCUUGUACACACCGCCCGUCACAUCACGAAAGCCAUCUGCACCCGAAGUCGCUGAUCCAACCUGUAUUCUACGGGGGGAAGGCGCCGAAGGUGUGGGUGGUGAUUGGGA
Molecule: ribosomal RNA, 1502 nt
Filed under: metagenome
Description: bacterial SSU rRNA
Rfam family: Bacterial small subunit ribosomal RNA
Source: RNAcentral